AGCCGUGGGCAUGUGACGAGAGCCUUGUGGCCAGGGCUCAUAAGUUAAAGACUGACGACCUAAUCGUUGUCGUGCGUGUCUAGCCCGGUCCUCACUGCUGACGUCACAGGCGCUUUUAAAUUCCCAUGCAUUCUUACGGCCCGAGCACUAACGAGCACAUCCCGGCUUUCCUCUUGCACAUAGUUCCGCACUGAUAAGUCCAAUUCUUCCGUGGUUUAGUGAUCUUUUUCUUCCUUUUGUCGAUGAGUAGAUGAUGGGGCCGCCGCCCAGCUACCAGCCCCUGAUCCAGGCUUACGACAUCGCGGACGGUCAGUGCAGCGGUAUCACCUCAAAUGCGCCGGGCGUGAUCAAAACGGCGGCGGCCGAGACCUGUCGGCAGGCUUUCCUCACACUGGAUCAGGCCGGGAAGAACGUCUGUCACGGGUGGUCCGAGGCCAAGUGCCGUAGACUUUCAGGCCAUACCCGUUACAAAUGCACCGUUCAGAUGCCACGCUGCUGGGCCAAUUUCUCUCCGAGACCCAGGACCCUCCUCGAAUGCGCCGAUAGUGACCUCCUCGAUUUCCUCAACAGAAAACGCUCACGGCGUGAUGAUGGUGCCAGCAGCUCAGGACAUGCCCGUGCCAGUGGCUCAGGUUAUACUGGUGCCGGUGGCUCAGGUCGUACCAGUCCACAACAUGCUUCACGUCCACCAUCUCUUCAAAAUCCUCCAUCCCAUUAUUAUCCCUCAUUCCACUAUCCCUCCUCACAGGAAAAUCUAUCAAUUGGACAGGGAGCAUACCCUCCAUAUUCUUCAAAUCCUCAAUAUCCUAUAGCCCCUGAAUACUAUACGCGGGGGAGCUCGAUUUUAGAUUAUUCACUGCCUCCAACACCUCGAGAACCUAGACCUGCGGAUCCUCACCUUCUGAGGGAUGACGAUUUUGGUGUGGCUGACGUACCGUAUGGAUCACCUAUGUCUCCUCCUGGGCCUGAUUCAAUAUGUGUGGAUGACAUACCGUACGGGUCACCUAUAUUUUUGGAUCAUAAUCCAGCACCUACAGAUAAAGAAGAAGAACCCCCAAGCACCUCUCCAGGACGUGGAGGCUCCUCAACAACCCGCCGAGGCAAAGGGAAAAAAGGGGAAUCAGGUAUGUACGUUUUUUUAAGUUCUUAACUCAUAGCGAGCGCAUUUUGCUUUAAACCCUACCAUUAGCUUAAUUGCAAUGAAGCUCUUGCAUGUGUGGGGAAUUUGCGAUUCAACCUCUUUUUUUUUCGUAAAAUUCUGCGAGAAACACGAUGGGGCCACUAUUUCCUCUGACUCAAACUCCAAAACUGAAAAAAAGUUCUCAAAGUUGAGGCGGUAACAAACUGAUUUAAUGACUACGUCAUUCGAUAUAACAUCGGACUAUUGGUUCAAACCAAAACUAACUAACAUAACCUCAUGUGCGAAUUCUUUAAAGUUUAGUC
RNAcentral lists this long non-coding RNA (1443 nucleotides) under Bemisia tabaci. RNAcentral's name for it is "lncRNA ENSASIAIIG000387". Lineage: Eukaryota; Metazoa; Arthropoda; Insecta; Hemiptera; Aleyrodidae. The record is from RNAcentral.